Molecule: ribosomal RNA, 443 nt
Filed under: uncultured bacterium
Lineage: Bacteria
Description: SSU rRNA
Rfam family: Bacterial small subunit ribosomal RNA
Source: RNAcentral
AGAGCGAACGCUGGCGGCAGGCCUAACACAUGCAAGUCGAGCGCCCCGCAAGGGGAGCGGCAGACGGGAGAGUAACACGUGGGAACGUACCCUUUGGUUCGGAACAACACAGGGAAACUUGUGCUAAUACCGGAUAAGCCCUUACGGGGAAAGAUUUAUUGCCAAAGGAUCGGCCCGCGUCUGAUUAGCUUGUUGGUGAGGUAACGGCUCACCAAGGCUACGAUCAGUAGCUGGUCUGAGAGGAUGAUCAGCCUCACUGGGACUGAGACACGGCCCAGACUCCUACGGGAGGCAGCAGUGGGGAAUAUUGGACAAUGGGCGCAAGCCUGAUCCAGCCAUGCCGCGUGGAUGAUGAAGGCCUUAGGGUUGUAAAGUCCUUUUAACGGGGAAGAUAAUGACGGUACCGUAGAAUAAGCCCCGGCUAACUUCGUGCCAGCAGCCGC